CGAGUUAUCUGAACCUUCGGGGAACGAUAACGGCGUCGAGCGGCGGACGGGUGAGUAAUGCCUAGGAAAUUGCCCUGAUGUGGGGGAUAACCAUUGGAAACGAUGGCUAAUACCGCAUGAUGCCUACGGGCCAAAGAGGGGGACCUUCGGGCCUCUCGCGUCAGGAUAUGCCUAGGUGGGAUUAGCUAGUUGGUGAGGUAAGGGCUCACCAAGGCGACGAUCCCUAGCUGGUCUGAGAGGAUGAUCAGCCACACUGGAACUGAGACACGGUCCAGACUCCUACGGGAGGCAGCAGUGGGGAAUAUUGCACAAUGGGCGCAAGCCUGAUGCAGCCAUGCCGCGUGUGUGAAGAAGGCCUUCGGGUUGUAAAGCACUUUCAGUCGUGAGGAAGGUAGUGUAGUUAAUAGCUGCAUUAUUUGACGUUAGCGACAGAAGAAGCACCGGCUAACUCCGUGCCAGCAGCCGCGGUAAUACGGAGGGUGCGAGCGUUAAUCGGAAUUACUGGGCGUAAAGCGCAUGCAGGUGGUUUGUUAAGUCAGAUGUGAAAGCCCGGGGCUCAACCUCGGAAUAGCAUUUGAAACUGGCAGACUAGAGUACUGUAGAGGGGGGUAGAAUUUCAGGUGUAGCGGUGAAAUGCGUAGAGAUCUGAAGGAAUACCGGUGGCGAAGGCGGCCCCCUGGACAGAUACUGACACUCAGAUGCGAAAGCGUGGGGAGCAAACAGGAUUAGAUACCCUGGUAGUCCACGCCGUAAACGAUGUCUACUUGGAGGUUGUGGCCUUGAGCCGUGGCUUUCGGAGCUAACGCGUUAAGUAGACCGCCUGGGGAGUACGGUCGCAAGAUUAAAACUCAAAUGAAUUGACGGGGGCCCGCACAAGCGGUGGAGCAUGUGGUUUAAUUCGAUGCAACGCGAAGAACCUUACCUACUCUUGACAUCCAGAGAACUUUCCAGAGAUGGAUUGGUGCCUUCGGGAACUCUGAGACAGGUGCUGCAUGGCUGUCGUCAGCUCGUGUUGUGAAAUGUUGGGUUAAGUCCCGCAACGAGCGCAACCCUUAUCCUUGUUUGCCAGCGAGUAAUGUCGGGAACUCCAGGGAGACUGCCGGUGAUAAACCGGAGGAAGGUGGGGACGACGUCAAGUCAUCAUGGCCCUUACGAGUAGGGCUACACACGUGCUACAAUGGCGCAUACAGAGGGCGGCCAACUUGCGAAAGUGAGCGAAUCCCAAAAAGUGCGUCGUAGUCCGGAUUGGAGUCUGCAACUCGACUCCAUGAAGUCGGAAUCGCUAGUAAUCGUGGAUCAGAAUGCCACGGUGAAUACGUUCCCGGGCCUUGUACACACCGCCCGUCACACCAUGGGAGUGGGCUGCAAAAGAAGUAGGUAGUUUAAC
RNAcentral lists this ribosomal RNA (1387 nucleotides) under Vibrio sp. RNAcentral describes it as "bacterial SSU rRNA". It matches the Rfam family "Bacterial small subunit ribosomal RNA", at positions 63 to 1439 of the family's 1533-position model. The record is from RNAcentral. Lineage: Bacteria; Pseudomonadati; Pseudomonadota; Gammaproteobacteria; Vibrionales; Vibrionaceae.